UACGUAGGGGACAAGCGUUGUCCGGAAUUAUUGGGCGUAAAGGGCUCGUAGGCGGCCAACUAAGUCAGACGUGAAAUCCCUCAGCUUAACUGGGGAACUGCGUCUGAUACUGGAUGGCUUGGAUUCGGGAGAGGAAUGCGGAAUUCCAGGUGUAGCGGUGAAAUGCGUAGAUAUCUGGAGGAACACCGGUGGCGAAGGCGGCAUUCUGGACCGAUAUUGACGCUGAGGAGCGAAAGCCAGGGGAGCAAACGGG
This 253-nucleotide ribosomal RNA is filed under the name uncultured bacterium. Its description in RNAcentral is "partial 16S ribosomal RNA". It matches the Rfam family "Bacterial small subunit ribosomal RNA", at positions 524 to 776 of the family's 1533-position model. The record is from RNAcentral.